ACGGGGCGCAGCAGGCGCGACGGGGCCCAGCAGCCGCGAAAACUUGGCAAUGCGAGAAAUCGUGACCAGGGAACUCCAAGUGCAUCGGGUAAUACCGAUGCUUUUCUUGACUCUUCAAAGGUCUUGGAAUAAGGGGUGGGUAAGGACGGUGCCAGCAGCCGCGGUAAU
RNAcentral lists this ribosomal RNA (168 nucleotides) under uncultured archaeon. RNAcentral describes it as "partial 16S ribosomal RNA". It matches the Rfam family "Archaeal small subunit ribosomal RNA", at positions 308 to 474 of the family's 1478-position model. The record is from RNAcentral.